UGGUAAGGAAUAAAAGAGAUUUUGAACUUUCUCGUUAAAGUUAAAGGGUAGUGGGUGCUACCCCAACCAUAAGGCUAGGUCCGCCCCUACAUAAAGGGGAUGAUGAAUGGUGACGUGAAGCGAUGUUAUUGGCUGCUUUGUUUAUAGUCGUUGUCAACGACUAUAAUUUUUUAUAAAAAAAACGUUUUUUUAUUGAAAAAUAAAUAAAAAAUCUCUAUUUAAUUCAAACCUAUUUACCAAAAUUUCUUCUACCCCACUCCAAAUUUUAUAAAUUCCUCAUUAGUUUUAUAAAAAAAGUAGACUCACAACCGUUCAUUCAACCCAAACAACCCGUAUGGCCGAGGCAAAACACCAAAUACCACUUCACCUCAAAACCGCCCUCCUCUUCAAGUUCCGGGUAACAUACACGACAUAUCGGCAUACGUGCAUCUUCUAUCGAACUAUAACAUGGUUUAUCCGCCACAAUUACAAAUACUAACUUCCCUCAACAACAUCUCGAUUUUUAUAUCCCAAAUGCCCUUAUACCCGAAUUCGUACCUAAAACGCAACCACAAGAUAUCGUUGAACUGUCCUCACGAAAAAAAGAAACUAUAAGAAGAAAACCAAGGCGGAGAAGGAAAAGCCGUUGUGGACAAAGUUGUUCAUCCAUGGACAAACGAGGAAGAAUUGGUGUUAACAAAAUCUUGAAUUUCUAUUUCGAAGAACUUGGUUUUAGAUACAAAUCAACACCAUGAUGAAUUUUGGGAUCAAAUAAAUAAUCUUUAA
Molecule: long non-coding RNA, 765 nt
Filed under: Helianthus annuus (common sunflower)
Lineage: Eukaryota; Viridiplantae; Streptophyta; Magnoliopsida; Asterales; Asteraceae
Description: hypothetical non coding rna
Source: RNAcentral